Coregonus clupeaformis (lake whitefish) is the source of this 1561-nucleotide RNA transcript. RefSeq lists it as uncharacterized. NCBI's taxonomy places the organism in Eukaryota, Metazoa, Chordata, Actinopteri, Salmoniformes, Salmonidae. The transcript is spliced from 3 exons. The record is from RefSeq and is a predicted model, not a curated record.
GAAGCCCUUCGUCAAUUUAUGGCGGAUUUUACAGUGCGUGGCUAGCUAGCUACUGUCCAAAUAAACAACAAUAACAAAAUCUAACGUUAGUGGAUGUAACAUGCUACGCAGAAAGCCCACCCGCCUGGAGUUUAAGUUGGAUGACACUGAGGAGUUUGAGUGUGUCAAGAAAGAGCUUGAAUCGGAAAAAACAGAGAGAUGAAGUGGAUGUUGUUGGUGUGGCAACGUCUAGUGACAUGGUGGGGGCCAGUGGUGGAACAGGGGAUGUGAAGACACGGGAACAGAUGAUCAACGAGAGAAUAGGCUACAAGCCCCAUCCUAAACCCAACACCUUGCCAUCACUCUUUGGAAACCUGCAGUUUUAGGUUCCUAAUGGGCACAUUAAAGAGACUGCUCAAACGUUUGGCUCCUCCAGCGUUGGUGUGUGGAUGGCACAGUGACUGUGGUAUUGACAUAGUCAGGGAUACUUGUGUGCUUACCUGAGAUCAGAAUUAUCUCUACAUAGAAAUGUGUAGUUUGAGGAUCCCGUUUUGCUUAUAACACACAUCUUCUAAAGUAAAUGUUGCUGCAUUUACCUGAAAUGUUAUGACUUGCGAUGUGAAGUGUGUGGCUUUUUGUACAAUAUGUUUAGUAAGAGCUGUUGUAGUGGUUUCCCUCCUUUAUUACAAAAAUCCAGACUUGGUAGUCCCAGGAAGGUGAAGGUAGCAUCUGUGGGGCAAGAUGGAAUGAACUGAAUGGACUUGAUAACUAAUCAGUUAUUACUUACGAUGGUAUGAUUGUACUUUUAUUGGCCUUCAAAGCCACAUUAUGAGAAUGCAACAGAAUCAAAACAUACAGUUCUUGAAUGAUACCAUUUAUUACUUGUUUUCUCUAGAUGAUUACAGCACUGUAAAUAUGUCAAACUAUACAGACAUGUCUGUGGACAGUCCAGGUAAUAUUCACACUGAUUAUGCGCUGGAGUGGCGGUCAGAUUCCCACUGCUGUUUUGGCCCAUUAACUUCAACGCUAGAUUUGUACAGUAGACUAUAAUAACAAAUAGUCUUUAUACAUGAUCCCACUUGGUAAAGCAGAAACGGUUAUAAUAUGUUCAAGUGUACACUUAACUAUUAAUGUCCCUGGCUUGAUUGUAAUGUAAUGAGAAUGUGUGGCUGUUAAAUCCAGUUAAAGCAACUAGGAAUUUGACCCCCAAACCAGGCACGGCACAUCACUAAGGCUGUGUUUAGACAAGGAGCCCAAUGCUGAUAUUUUUUUCCACUAAUUGGUCUUUUGACCAAUCACAUCAGAUCUUUUUCAGAGCUGAUCUGAUUGGUCAAAAGACCAAUUAGCACAAAAAAUUAAUCAGAAUUGGGCUGCCUGUCUACACAGACAGACAACGCUGACAUUUCCACUAAUUGGUCUUUUGACCAAUCAAAUCAGCUCUAUUGCCAAAUAAAUCAGCAAAAGGUCAGAAUCAGGCUGCCUGUGUAAACGCAGCCUUAGGCAACUGAUACAAACAUUUACUAGUAAUUUCUCAGAGAUUCAAAAACGUAUAAUAUCAAAAUAAACUAAAAAUACAACUUUC